CAAGCAUGGUCGAAAGCUUCCACACGCUCAAAGUAAAAUAUCUUGGAUUUUUUGCUUUACAAACAGAAAACAACUUCAUUUGAGGACUGCUAGAUGAAUUAAUAUUAUCCUGUGUUUCACAAUCAGAAUCAGUUGCCGGAGAUAUCUUAAAUGAACUUGUAACAUUAGCUAUUUGCGGCAUGGAAGUGAAACAACACGAUGGGAACAUGGUUUUGAAAAAACCCAGUUGCUCCGUGGAAAAGAAAAUAUCCAUGGUUAAUUUUGAAUAAAAAAUGUCUUAUGAAGUCAUGUUGUAGUGUGUGUCAGGCACACCUCUCUUACACUUGUUAUUUGAAAUGAAUACCCUGGAUCUUAAAAAUAUGGUGGGUAUCGAAAAGUAUAGAUAACCACUUGAAAUUGGAAAUACCCACUUAGUUUAAAUAGUAUGGGUAUCAUACCCACAUGGCCAUAGGUUUUUCUGGCUCUCUGUGAACAACUGAGCCUUGUCAGAAUGUCUGUCUUUCUAAACAUUAGGCCUCAAUCAGUUAUCCAGAAUCAGUUAUCCAGUGUAUGGCAUCUCCAUUCUAACAUUACAUUCCCAUGACACAUUGACCACCAUAGCUUUGUUUUUGGGGCUACUUUGGAUGACAUGAUGCUAGAAAUAGAUGUCCAGUCAAAUUAAUCUGUUCAUCCAUGAGUUACACAACCAGAUGUAUUGUCAGUCUUGUUGCCACAUACACACCUGUCGUGUCUUGUUGCCAAAGGUCUUUCAUCCUCUUUGUACUCCAGCUAAGAAAUCUUUAAACAAUUUGUGCAAGUACAAGUUUCAGUACAAGAGGGGCAGCCUAGUGGUUAUAGCCUUCACUCAAGCUGACGACCCGGGUUCCAGUCCCCACAUUGGUACAAUAUGUGAAGCCCAUGUCUGGUGUCCCCAGACGUGAUAUUGCUGAAAUAGUGCCUAAGCGGCAUAAAAUGUAACUCACUCCAGUACAAGAUUUAACUUGCAUUUUGCAACCGGCCUGUAAAACAUAACAACCCUCUAUUGCUGCUGUUGUAGUAGGCAACUCUUAUUGUCAAAUAAUAUAGCUUGUCAAUGAUGUUUAUCCAUCCCAUAGCGUUUUGAAGUUGAUGAAACCACUUCACAUGCACUACCAUCUGAGACAGCUAUAAGAUACAAUUUGUAAUGGCUGCUGCUAUUGUUGGAAUCCUUUUUCAUUGUUUGGUUAUCUUGGCUAUUUUGUAUUUAGCGUAUCAUCCCAUAGUGUUUUUUGAUGACUUCACAUGCACUACCUUCUCAGACAUCUACAAAACUCCUUCAUAAUACAAAGUGCAUUGUUCAAAGCUAUUCAGUGUUGGGAGUCUUGGUCAUAUUGUGUGUAGUGUAUUGCCUAAAUAGCCCCUUGAGACCCAUUUCAGAUGAUGUUUGAUACUGCAUUUUCACAUUGUUGCUCUAGUCAGAGCUUAUGGUGGUUAAAUGUAUUGUUUGCAUCUUUGGUUUAUUGAAGUUAUUGUCAGUUUUCAAGAUAUAGCUUGUCAAUGAUGUUUAUCCAUCCCAUAGCGUUUUGAAGUUGAUGAAACCACUUCACAUGCACUACCAUCUGAGACAGCUAUAGAAAACGUUCAUAAUACAAAGUGUAAUGGCUGCUGCUGCCAUUGUUCAAGCUAUCUAUUCAGUGUUGGGGUGUCUUGGUUAUUUUGUCUGUCUAAAUAGCUCCUUGAGAACCAUUUCAGAGGGUGUGGGGGUUAGCCUAGUGGCAUAGGCAUUCGUUCGCCAUGCCAAAGACCCGGGUUCGAUUCCGUAGGUUUUUGUGAUGUGUGAUGCCCAUUUGUGGUUUCCUGCGCAGUGAUAUUGCCGGAAUAUUGCUAAAAGUGACGUAAAAUCUCACUUGCCCAUUCCUAAUUGUGUUUGAUACUGCAUUUUCACAUUAUUGCUCAGGUCCGGAGUUAUGGUAGCUGAAUUGUUGAUAUUUGCAUCUCUACUUUAUUGAAGUUGUCACUUUUCAAGAUAUAGCUUGUCAAUGAUGUUUAUCCAUCCCAUAGCGUUUUGAAGUUGAUGAAACCACUUCACAUGCACUACCAUCUGAGACAGCUGUAGAA
Molecule: long non-coding RNA, 2076 nt
Organism: Haliotis rubra (blacklip abalone)
Lineage: Eukaryota; Metazoa; Mollusca; Gastropoda; Lepetellida; Haliotidae
Exons: 2
Source: RefSeq, a predicted model, not a curated record